RNAcentral lists this long non-coding RNA (561 nucleotides) under Homo sapiens (human). RNAcentral's name for it is "non-protein coding lnc-RP9-7:1". Lineage: Eukaryota; Metazoa; Chordata; Mammalia; Primates; Hominidae. The record is from RNAcentral.
UUAAAAAUAAUGCCUUAAUAUUUUUAUGUCUUUAAAUAAGACAGGUUUCUGCUUGGUAUCAAAGGAACCUGGGGAAAGAAGAAUGAAAACUAAUUAAUUAAUUUUCUUUUACUUUUAGAUGCCAGAAUUCCAGAAAAGUUCAGUUCGAAUCAAGAACCCUACAAGAGUAGAAGAAAUUAUCUGUGGUCUUAUCAAAGGAGGAGCUGCCAAACUUCAGAUAAUAACGGACUUUGAUAUGACACUCAGUAGAUUUUCAUAUAAAGGGAAAAGAUGCCCAACAUGUCAUAAUAUCAUUGACAACUGUAAGCUGGUUACAGAUGAAUGUAGAAAAAAGGUAAACACUAACAACAAUCUAUAGUCACUCAAAGACUUCAUUACCCUUUUUGCCUGAGAAUUUCUUCAGGUGCAUUCACAGAAGUAAGAAUGGAUGUAAAGUGCUUACAGCCAUACCUGGCACAUAGUAAGCACUCAGUAAAUAGUAGGUUUGCUGUAUGAAUUACACAUUCAAAACAUAUUUUAAAGAUAAAAAUUCACAGUAACUUGACAACAAAACUUAUAUUU